GGAUGUAGCUCAGUGGAAGAGCAUUUACUAGAAUGCAUGAGACCCUGGGUUCAAUCCCCAGCAGUGCA
RNAcentral lists this transfer RNA (68 nucleotides) under Marmota monax (woodchuck). RNAcentral's name for it is "tRNA.Undet". The record is from RNAcentral. Lineage: Eukaryota; Metazoa; Chordata; Mammalia; Rodentia; Sciuridae.